GGGUUGUGAGGUUAAGCGACUAAGCGUACACGGUGGAUGCCCUGGCAGUCAGAGGCGAUGAAGGACGUGCUAAUCUGCGAUAAGCGUCGGUAAGGUGAUAUGAACCGUUAUAACCGGCGAUUUCCGAAUGGGGAAACCCAGUGUGAUUCGUCACACUAUCAUUAACUGAAUCCAUAGGUUAAUGAGGCGAACCGGGGGAACUGAAACAUCUAAGUACCCCGAGGAAAAGAAAUCAACCGAGAUUCCCCCAGUAGCGGCGAGCGAACGGGGAGGAGCCCAGAGCCUGAAUCAGUGUGUGUGUUAGUGGAAGCGUCUGGAAAGGCGCGCGAUACAGGGUGACAGCCCCGUACACAAAAAUGCACAUACUGUGAGCUCGAUGAGUAGGGCGGGACACGUGGUAUCCUGUCUGAAUAUGGGGGGACCAUCCUCCAAGGCUAAAUACUCCUGACUGACCGAUAGUGAACCAGUACCGUGAGGGAAAGGCGAAAAGAACCCCGGCGAGGGGAGUGAAAAAGAACCUGAAACCGUGUACGUACAAGCAGUGGGAGCCUCUUUAUGGGGUGACUGCGUACCUUUUGUAUAAUGGGUCAGCGACUUAUAUUCUGUAGCAAGGUUAACCGAAUAGGGGAGCCGAAGGGAAACCGAGUCUUAACUGGGCGUUAAGUUGCAGGGUAUAGACCCGAAACCCGGUGAUCUAGCCAUGGGCAGGUUGAAGGUUGGGUAACACUAACUGGAGGACCGAACCGACUAAUGUUGAAAAAUUAGCGGAUGACUUGUGGCUGGGGGUGAAAGGCCAAUCAAACCGGGAGAUAGCUGGUUCUCCCCGAAAGCUAUUUAGGUAGCGCCUCGUGAAUUCAUCUCCGGGGGUAGAGCACUGUUUCGGCAAGGGGGUCAUCCCGACUUACCAACCCGAUGCAAACUGCGAAUACCGGAGAAUGUUAUCACGGGAGACACACGGCGGGUGCUAACGUCCGUCGUGAAGAGGGAAACAACCCAGACCGCCAGCUAAGGUCCCAAAGUCAUGGUUAAGUGGGAAACGAUGUGGGAAGGCCCAGACAGCCAGGAUGUUGGCUUAGAAGCAGCCAUCAUUUAAAGAAAGCGUAAUAGCUCACUGGUCGAGUCGGCCUGCGCGGAAGAUGUAACGGGGCUAAACCAUGCACCGAAGCUGCGGCAGCGACACUAUGUGUUGUUGGGUAGGGGAGCGUUCUGUAAGCCUGUGAAGGUGUACUGUGAGGUAUGCUGGAGGUAUCAGAAGUGCGAAUGCUGACAUAAGUAACGAUAAAGCGGGUGAAAAGCCCGCUCGCCGGAAGACCAAGGGUUCCUGUCCAACGUUAAUCGGGGCAGGGUGAGUCGACCCCUAAGGCGAGGCCGAAAGGCGUAGUCGAUGGGAAACAGGUUAAUAUUCCUGUACUUGGUGUUACUGCGAAGGGGGGACGGAGAAGGCUAUGUUGGCCGGGCGACGGUUGUCCCGGUUUAAGCGUGUAGGCUGAUUUUCCAGGCAAAUCCGGAAAAUCAAGGCUGAGGCGUGAUGACGAGGCACUACGGUGCUGAAGCAACAAAUGCCCUGCUUCCAGGAAAAGCCUCUAAGCAUCAGGUAACAUCAAAUCGUACCCCAAACCGACACAGGUGGUCAGGUAGAGAAUACCAAGGCGCUUGAGAGAACUCGGGUGAAGGAACUAGGCAAAAUGGUGCCGUAACUUCGGGAGAAGGCACGCUGAUAUGUAGGUGAAGCGACUUGCUCGUGGAGCUGAAAUCAGUCGAAGAUACCAGCUGGCUGCAACUGUUUAUUAAAAACACAGCACUGUGCAAACACGAAAGUGGACGUAUACGGUGUGACGCCUGCCCGGUGCCGGAAGGUUAAUUGAUGGGGUUAGCGGUAACGCGAAGCUCUUGAUCGAAGCCCCGGUAAACGGCGGCCGUAACUAUAACGGUCCUAAGGUAGCGAAAUUCCUUGUCGGGUAAGUUCCGACCUGCACGAAUGGCGUAAUGAUGGCCAGGCUGUCUCCACCCGAGACUCAGUGAAAUUGAACUCGCUGUGAAGAUGCAGUGUACCCGCGGCAAGACGGAAAGACCCCGUGAACCUUUACUAUAGCUUGACACUGAACAUUGAGCCUUGAUGUGUAGGAUAGGUGGGAGGCUUUGAAGUGUGGACGCCAGUCUGCAUGGAGCCGACCUUGAAAUACCACCCUUUAAUGUUUGAUGUUCUAACGUUGACCCGUGAUCCGGGUUGCGGACAGUGUCUGGUGGGUAGUUUGACUGGGGCGGUCUCCUCCUAAAGAGUAACGGAGGAGCACGAAGGUUGGCUAAUCCUGGUCGGACAUCAGGAGGUUAGUGCAAUGGCAUAAGCCAGCUUGACUGCGAGCGUGACGGCGCGAGCAGGUGCGAAAGCAGGUCAUAGUGAUCCGGUGGUUCUGAAUGGAAGGGCCAUCGCUCAACGGAUAAAAGGUACUCCGGGGAUAACAGGCUGAUACCGCCCAAGAGUUCAUAUCGACGGCGGUGUUUGGCACCUCGAUGUCGGCUCAUCACAUCCUGGGGCUGAAGUAGGUCCCAAGGGUAUGGCUGUUCGCCAUUUAAAGUGGUACGCGAGCUGGGUUUAGAACGUCGUGAGACAGUUCGGUCCCUAUCUGCCGUGGGCGCUGGAGAACUGAGGGGGGCUGCUCCUAGUACGAGAGGACCGGAGUGGACGCAUCACUGGUGUUCGGGUUGUCAUGCCAAUGGCACUGCCCGGUAGCUAAAUGCGGAAGAGAUAAGUGCUGAAAGCAUCUAAGCACGAAACUUGCCCCGAGAUGAGUUCUCCCUGACUCCCUGAGAGUCCUGAAGGAACGUUGAAGACGACGACGUUGAUAGGCCGGGUGUGUAAGCGCAGCGAUGCGUUGAGCUAACCGGUACUAAUGAACCGUGAGGCUUAACCUUACAACGCCGAAG
This 2925-nucleotide ribosomal RNA is filed under the name Escherichia coli. Its description in RNAcentral is "23S ribosomal RNA". It matches the Rfam family "Bacterial large subunit ribosomal RNA". Lineage: Bacteria; Pseudomonadati; Pseudomonadota; Gammaproteobacteria; Enterobacterales; Enterobacteriaceae. The record is from RNAcentral.